GGGGAAUUUUGGACAAUGGGCGCAAGCCUGAUCCAGCAAUGCCGCGUGCAGGAUGAAGGCCUUCGGGUUGUAAACUGCUUUUGUACGGAACGAAAAGCCUCUCUCUAAUACAGGGGGGUGAUGACGGUACCGUAAGAAUAAGCACCGGCUAACUACGUGCCAGCAGCCGCGGUAAUACGUAGGGUGCAAGCGUUAAUCGGAAUUACUGGGCGUAAAGAGCACGUAGGCGGCCUUGCAAGUCAGAUGUGAAAUCCAACGGCUUAACCGUUGAACUGCAUUUGAAACUGCAAGGCUAGAGUAUGGGAGAGGUAGGUGGAAUUCUCGGUGUAGGGGUAAAAUCCGUAGAGAUCGAGAGGAAUACUCAUUGCGAAGGCGACCUGCUGGAACAUUACUGACGCUGAGGUGCGAAAGCGUGGGGAGCAAACA
RNAcentral lists this ribosomal RNA (426 nucleotides) under uncultured Wolinella sp. RNAcentral's name for it is "bacterial SSU rRNA". It matches the Rfam family "Bacterial small subunit ribosomal RNA", at positions 356 to 774 of the family's 1533-position model. Lineage: Bacteria; Pseudomonadati; Campylobacterota; Epsilonproteobacteria; Campylobacterales; Helicobacteraceae. The record is from RNAcentral.